CCUACGGGUGGCAGCAGUGAGGAAUAUUGGUCAAUGGGCGAGAGCCUGAACCAGCCAAGUCGCGUGAAGGAUGACGGCCCUACGGGUUGUAAACUUCUUUUGUCAGGGAGCAAUUUAUUCCACGUGUGGGCUUAGCUAGAGUACCUGUAGAUAAAGCAUCGGCUAACUCCUUGCAAGAAGCCGCGGUAAUACGGAGGAUGCGAGCGUUAUCCGGUUUUAUUGGGUUUAAGGGGUGCGUAGGGGGCAUAUCAGGUCAGCGGUAAAAAUUCGGGGCUCAACCCAGUCGUGCCGUUGAAACUGAUGGUCUUGAGUGGGCGUGAAGUAGGCGGAAUGCGUGGUGUAGCGGUGAAAUGCAUAGAUAUCACGCAGAACUCCGAUUGCGAAGGCAGCAUACCGGGGCACAACUGACGCUGAAGCACGAAAGCGUGGGUAUCGAACAGGAUUAGAUACCCCUGUAGUC
RNAcentral lists this ribosomal RNA (460 nucleotides) under uncultured bacterium. Its description in RNAcentral is "partial 16S ribosomal RNA". It matches the Rfam family "Bacterial small subunit ribosomal RNA", at positions 338 to 795 of the family's 1533-position model. The record is from RNAcentral.